Schistosoma rodhaini is the source of this 45-nucleotide non-coding RNA. NCBI's taxonomy places the organism in Eukaryota, Metazoa, Platyhelminthes, Trematoda, Strigeidida, Schistosomatidae. The record is from Rfam.
AUCCAACUGACGAGUCCCAAAUAGGACGAAACACGAGUCCUGGAU